RNAcentral lists this unclassified non-coding RNA (373 nucleotides) under fungal sp. RNAcentral describes it as "partial internal transcribed spacer region". The stretch from base 1 to 46 matches the Rfam family "Eukaryotic small subunit ribosomal RNA", at positions 1786 to 1831 of the family's 1831-position model. The record is from RNAcentral. Lineage: Eukaryota; Fungi.
AAGUCGUAACAAGGUUUCCGUAGGUGAACCUGCGGAAGGAUCAUUAACACGUAUCCAACGUUAAACAACCCUGUGAACUUUAAGCCUACUCUUGCAGCCCAUGAGGAACAGCAAUCCCGGUAAAUCAUUGCCAAACAGUUUUGAUUCGGGACCUCUGUCCAAAAGGAGUUGCAAUUGAGUGGUAGAUGCAGUGGCAUGGCUUCCCCUGUGUAAGGAUAACGCCUCACGGUUGCCAGAGGUCGAUCACCGACCGGCAGACAUGUCACAGGGCCACCGCGCCCCUUAAUCACUCCACUAGAAAAUGCCCCGCCUAGUGGUAACGCGCUAGGUAAAAAAAACCGAACAACUGUUAACAAUGGAUAUCUUGGUUCUC